UCCCAAAAUUUAUAUUAGGGUUAGUCAUUUAUUCUCUUAAACAAAACGAAAAAAAGGGCAAUAAAUUUUCAUUCAUCUCAAUCCCAUGCACCAAAAUAAGUUAGUGUGUUAUAUCACUAACAUUUCUUCGUGCACGUACAUCUUAGCCUAAAGCCAACACAUUUGCCUCCCUUGAAGCCUUCUUUUUCGCAAAUAUUUGCACAGUUGCUUGAUCGGAAGCAAGGUCCCUUGAAUUUCGUGCUCAAAGACUCACAAGUCCUCGACGUCUCCUUUGUUUCGACCUUGCCCUCAGCAACCAUUGGACCUGUCCCUGCCAAACAUUCAUUGAUAAAAAUGAAUGAGAGAAUUUGGAUUCAAACUUGAAACGUCUUUCAGCAUUGGAAAGAAAUAUAUCACUAAUCAAAUAUAAAGAUGAAAUUAAAAUGAGGAAAGAGAGAGAUACCAAUAGUCACAAGAAGCAAGACGAGGAUGAAGACAGUUGAAAACAUACGUUUGGAUCCCUCCAUCUUGAUUUUUGUGUGUGUACGUACACGCGUGUGAAACAAAAACACAGACAGAGGGAUGUUGAAUGUUGAUUCAAGAUGCCUUGAUUCAAAGGUGAACCUUCCAAUGCCUUUUAUAUAGAGUUGUUAUGAAGCAAAUUAAGAGUAUUUCCGUAAAGGGCGGUACACCGGUGAAAAAUAGAGAGUGGAGGGAACCUUUGCUAUUUUUACCUAACACUUCAUUAGCCCAUUUUAUGCGGACAUGGAUGAUAAACCUGAAUUAACAUGUCAUAUGGACAACAAAUAAGAACUUAUAGAAAAUCUUUAACCUUCUAUUUAACCUUUUAUUUGUUGGACAGAUUCUAUUUAACCUUCUAGUAUAGGUGAUGUGUCAAUUCUUCUUUUUUUUUCAUAUAGAUAUGUCAAUUUUUUAAUCAUUUGUAAUUUGACGCACAAAAGGGUCAAUAGUGUAAUAAUUUAUAAUUUUAAGGGUAAUUUUCCUACUUUUUAAAAUACUGAAACCAACAACUCUUUGUGAGUUGGGUGUUUAUUUGUGUUUUAGUCUCUACUUGUGAGAGUUAGUUGUCGUUGUAUUUUUAAUUUUGGGCGUUGUAUUGCAUGUCUGAUUUGCUCAGGCAUGUGACUGUUACAUUGAAAUAUAUUUGGUCUUUUAGGGCUAUUAGUGGAGAUACAAGUUGUGAAUGUCGCCAGUGUAUCCUCUUAUAUAUGAUUAACCCUCUGCAGUUACUGUGCAUACAUCUUUAUACUAACCCUUUAUGAGUAUUUGAUCUUUGUGUCCAAUUAUUGAAUACAAUUAUCACUAAUUUUCAAAAAGAAAACUUAACAGCACAUAUUCAAGCAUUAUUUAAAUAGACUUGCCCCUUGAUAUAUAUAUAUAUAUAUAUAUAUAUAUAUAUUUUAAAAGCCCCAUUAUUUUGACGUGCCUCCUUUAAUUACUUUCCCCCCACCCUUUUCUUUAUUUGUUGGUAACAAAAGGAAGUUGCUGAAAUCAUAGCCUCCAACCUAAAUUUUAUGACAAAACAAUCAUGUUCCUGUAUAAGAUUUCCUUCUAUUUCUUCAAUUUUCUUUUGGUUUAAAAAGCUUCUGAAUCUUUGUGAGUCGAGUCCAAUACAAACAUGAAUGCGAACUAUAAGUCGCCAGCAAGAAUAUAUUAUGUCAUUUUAUUCGGAUAUGGUAAUUGAUUAGCAUGCAAGAACUAUUGUAAAAAUUAAACCAUUUUCUAUUGUCUUGACAAAAGAUAAUUACCAAUCGAUAUGGAUACUCAAUGUGGAAUCUAAUCCACUAGGUGCAGUGACCACCUAACUAGAAAUAUCACAUGCCUAAUCUUUAUAUAUAUUUUUCAUAAUUAUUCUCUUGGCUUUUCAUUUUGCUAGUAAAAUUCAAAGUUUUUUUAACUGCAAUGAUCCCUAAAUUUAUAUCUAGUUUUAUUUUGGUCCUUUAGAUCUCGUACGUGUUCCAAUUUAGUUAUUUUUUCAAAUUCGGUAAAACUGAGGGAUAAAACUAAUAAUUUGGAUACAAUAAUCUUUAAAAAACAAACAAUUUUUUUUAAUUAUUAUACUAAAUUAACUAAAUUAGAACUCGUGCAGAAAUUGAUGGACCAAAAUGAAACUUGUCUAAGUUCAAGGAUCGUUGUCGUUAAAUCACCAAAAAAAAAAAAAAAAAAAGGGCUUUCCACAAGUAGACCCAUUCUAACAUGGAUAUACACGAAAUUUCUUAGAGCCUAUUUGGAGAGAAAAACCCAAAAAUAGUCACUUAUCAUUUUCUAAUGACUAAUUGCUUCUUAUAAAAUUUUAACACACUAAGAACCAAUAAGAAAAUGACAAGUUCACUUUGACAGGGGAGGAAUCCACUAUUCUUCCUCCUCUUUCCCCUCUUCUCUUCCUCCUUCUCUUCUCUCCCCACAUUUUCAGAGACAAAAGAUUUUCCCUGUUUGUCUUCAUUUUGUUAUGAUUUUCCUCCAACCAUCACAGGCGACUGCGUCUCGGCGUCGGAUCUCCACAUGCGUUUCGGCAUCGGAUCUCCACCACCAUCCUUUUUGCGGUUUCUUUAUGUUCAGAAUAAGUCAUAGAGACUCUUUGGGUUGUCUGUGUAGUUUUCAGCUCUCCUUUUGUGAGAGCUUUUCACCUCUCAUCUAUGAGAGAUUUUCAUCUCUCUUUUGUGAGAGCUUUUCAUCUCUCCUUUAUGAGAGUUUUAUUUGUAUUGUUAUGGCUUGAUUUUUUCAAGCUUUAUCUCUGUUUGAUUAUUCUGAGUUUGCAAUCUUAGUUGGGAUGCCUAUGCUAGAGUUUCUUCGAUCCUGAGUGAUUGUUAGUGGAGGUGCACCAGAUUGUUUUAAUUUUGAUGUUAGACCGCUCCGUUAUUGUAAUGGCCCUUUAUAACUAGUGGUUUUUUUUUUUUGGCUAAAUUAUAAAUGCAAUCCUAAAAUUUCUCCAAAAAAAAACAAAAAAUUUUGUGCGCCAUAUUAAGUCACUUAGUGAUGUGGAUAUGAAAGUUUCCAUUGUUGUACAUAUAACUAAUUUGGAUCAAUUACGUUUCGCAUCUCUGUAGCUUGAGGUGAGUGAGAGUUGGUUCAUGGCCUCUAAAAACUAACAAAAGCAGCCCCUAAAGUUACAAAUAGUAUAAUCAACAUUACGCAUUGGUAAAAAGUUUAAAGUAAUGCUAGAAAGAUCACAUUUGUAUAGAGAAAAAAAAGUAUCAUUACAUUAAGAAAUGAACGAUAUUUUGCUAUUUAUUUUAUUGAUUACAAAAUAACUCACGCAUGUUAACACAUAAGACCAAAAACACGGACACAACCCCAAAAUUUAUAUUAGGGUUAGUCAUUUAUUCUCUUAUAAAAAAGAAAAAAAGGGCCAUAAAUUUUCAUUCACCUCAAUCCCAUGCACCAAAAUAACUUAGUGUGUUAUAUCACUAACAUUUCUUAGUGCACGUACAUCUCAGCCUGAAGCCAACACAUUUGCCUCCCUUGAAGCCUUCUUUUUCGCAAAUAUUUGCACAGUUGCUUGAUCGGAAGCAAGGUCCCUUGAAUUUCGUGCUCAAAGACUCACAAGUCCUCGACGUCUCCUUUGUUUCGACCUUGCCCUCAGCAACCAUUGGACCCGUCCCUGCCAAAGAUUCAUCGAUAAAAAUGAAUGAGAGAAGGUGGAUUCAAACUUGAAACGUCUUUGAGCAUUGGAAAGAAAUAUAUCACUAAUCAAAUAUAAAGAUGAAAUUAAAAUGAGGAAAGAGAGAGAUACCAAUAGCCACAAGGAGCAGGACGAGGAUGAAGACAGUUGAAAACAUACGUUUGGAUCCCUCCAUCUUGAUUUUUGUGUGUGUACGUGCACGCGUGUGAAACAAAAACACAGACAGAGGGAUGUUGAAUGUUGAUUCAAGAUGCCUUGAUUCAAAGGUUAACCUUCCAACACCUUUUAUAUAGAGUUGUUAUGAAGCAAAUUAAGAGUAUUUCCGUAAAGGGCGGUACACCGGUGAAAAAUAGAGAGUGGAAGGAAAUUUAACCUUUGUUAUUUUUACCUAACACUUAAUUAGCCCAUUUUAUGCGGACAUGGAUGAUAAACCUGAAUUAACAUGUCAUAUGGACAACAAAUAAGAACUUAUAGAAAAAAUUUAACCUUUUAUUUGUUGGACAGAUUCUAUUUAACCUUCUAGUAUAGGUGAUGUGUCAAUUCUUCUUUUUUCAUAUGGAUAUGUCAACUUUUUAAUCAUUUGUAAUUUGACGCACAAAAGGGUCAAUAGUGUAAUAAUUUAUAAUUUUAAGGGUAAUUUUCCUACUUUUUAAAAUACUGAAACCAACAACUCUUUGUGAGUUGGGUGUUUAUUUGUGUUUUAGUCUCUACUUGUGAGAGUUAGUUAUCGUUCUAUUUGUAAUUUUGGGCGUUGUAUUACAUGUCUGAUUUGCUCAGGCAUGUGACUGUUACAUUGAAAUUUAUUUGGUCUUUUAGGGCUAUUAGUGGAGAUACAAGUUGUGCGAUGUCGCCAGUAUAUCCUCUUAUAUAUUGAUUAACCCCCUGUAGUUACUGUGCAUACAUCUUUAUACUAACCCUUUAUGAGUAUUUGAUCUUUGUGUCCAAUUAUUGAAUACAAUUAUCACUAAUUUUCAAAAAGAAAACUUAACAGUACAUAUUCAAGCAUUAUUUAAAUGGACUUGCCUCUUGAAUUUUUUUUAUUUUUAUUUUUAAAAGCCCCAUUAUUUUGAAAUGCCUCCUUUAAUUACUUUCCCCCACCCUUUUCUAUAUUUGUUGGUAACAAAAGGAAGUUGCUGAAAUCAUAGCCUCCAACCUAAACUUUAUGCCAAAACAAUCAUGUUCGUAUAUAAGAUUUCCUUCUAUUUCUUCAAUUUCCUUUUGGUUUAAAAAGCUUCUGAAUCUUUGUGAGUCGAGUCCAAUACAAACAUGAAUGCAAACUAUAAGUCGCCAGCAAGAAUAUAUUAUGUCAAUUUAUUCGGAUAUGGUAAUUGAUUAGCAUGCAAGAACUAUUGUAAAAAUUAAAUCAUUUUCUAUUGUCUUGACAAAAGAUAAUUACCAAUCGAUAUGGAUACUCAAUGUGGAAUCUAAUCCACUAGGUGCAGUGACCACCUAACUAGAAAUAUCACAUGCCUAAUCUUUAUAUAUAUAUUUCAUCAUUAUUCUCUUGGCUUUUCAUUUUGCUAGUAAAAUUCAAAGGUUUUUUCAACUGCAAUGAUCCCUAAAUUUAUAUCUAGUUUUAUUUUGGUCCAUCAGAUCUCGUACGUGUUCCAAUUUAGUUAUUUUUUCAAAUUCGGUAAAAUUAAGUGGUAAAACUAAUAAUUUGGAUACAAUAAUCUUUAAAAAACCAACAAUUUUUUUAUUAUUAUACUGAAUUAACUAAAUUAGAACUCGUGCAAGAAUUGAUGGACCAAAAUGAAACUCGUAUAAGUUCAAGGAUCGUUGUAGUUAAAUUGCAAAAUAAAUAAAUAAAUAAAUAAAGGGCUUUCCACAAGUAGACCCAUUCUAACAUGGAUAUACACGAAAUUUCUUAGAGCCAAUUUGGAGAGAAAAACCCAAAAAUAGUCACUUAUCAUUUUCUAAUAACUAAUUGCUUCUUAUAAAAUUUUAACACACUAAGAACCAACAAGAAAAUGACAAGUUCACUUUGACGGGGGAGGAAGCCACUAUUCUUCCUCCUCUCUCCCCUCUUCUCUUCCUCCCUCUCUUCUCUCCCCUCAUUUUCAGAGACAGAAGGUUUUCCCUCUUUGUCUUCAUUUUGUUAUAAUUUUCCUCCAACCAUCACAGGCGGCUGCGUCUCGGCAUCGGAUCUCCACAUGCGUUUCGGCAUCGGAUCUCCACCACCAUCCUUUUGGCGGUUUCUUUAUGUUCGGAAUAAGUCACAGAGACUCUUUGGGUUGUCUGUGUAGUUUUCAGCUCUCCUUUUCUGAGAGCUUUUCAUCUCUCAUUUGUGAGAGAUUUUCAUCUCUCUUUUGUGAGAGCUUUUCAUCUCUCCUUUGUGAGAGUUUUAUUUGUAUUGUUAUGACUUGAUUUUUUUCAAGCUUUAUCUCUAUUUGAUUAUUCUGAGUUUACAAUCUUAGUUGGGAUGCCUAUGCCAGAGUUUCUUCGAUACUGAGUGAUUGUUAGUGGAGGUGGAUCAGAUUGUUUUAAUUUUGAUGUUAGACCGCUCCGUUAUUGUAAUAGUCAUUUAUAGCUAGUGACUUUUUUUGGCUAAAUUAUAAAUGCAAUCCUAAAAUUUCUCCACCAAAAAAAAAAAAAAAAGUUUUUUGCGCCAUAUUAAGUCACUUAGUGAUGUGGAUAUGAAAGUUUCCAUUGUUGUACAUAUAACUAAUUUGGAUCAAUUACGUUUCGCAUCUCUGUGGCUUGAGGUGAGCGAGACUUGGUUCAUGGCCUCUAAAAACUAACAAAAGCAGCCCCUAAAGUUACAAAUAGUAUAAUCAACAUUAAGCAUUGGUAAAAAGUUUAAAGUAAUGCUAGAAAGAUCACAUUUGUAUAGAGAAAAAAAAAAGUAUCAUUACAUUAAGAAAUGAACGAUAUUAUUUUCUUAUUUUAUUGAUUACAAAAUAACUCACGCACUGUUAGCGCAUAAGAACAAAAACACGGACACAACCCCAAAAUUUAUAUUAGGGUUAGUCAUUUAUUCUCUUAAACAAAACGAAAAAAAGGGCAAUAAAUUUUCAUUCAUCUCAAUCCCAUGCACCAAAAUAAGUUAGUGUGUUAUAUCACUAACAUUUCUUCGUGCACGUACAUCUCAGCCUGAAGCCAACACAUUUGCCUCCCUUGAAGCCUUCUUUUUCGCAAAUAUUUGCACAGUUGCUUGAUCGGAAGCAAGGUCCCUUGAAUUUCGUGCUCAAAGACUCACAAGUCCUCGACGUCUCCUUUGUUUCGACCUUGCCCUCAGCAACCAUUGGACCUGUCCCUGCC
This 6883-nucleotide long non-coding RNA is filed under the name Prunus dulcis (almond). RNAcentral describes it as "sRNA ncRNA". Lineage: Eukaryota; Viridiplantae; Streptophyta; Magnoliopsida; Rosales; Rosaceae. The record is from RNAcentral.